CUUAGCUUUCCGGCCUGGUCGGUCUCUACCACCACUUUCUCAUUAGCUGGCUUCUGAGAGGGCGAGGCGGAAGAGGCCGUAAGAAUCUGGCAGCGAUGGCAGGAAUAUCUGCAGUGACUUCCUGAGCACCUGCUGCACAGCCUGGCCCCUCACUGGCCUUGGGAGGAUGGAAAGCACAGCAGACUGGGGAGGAAGAACAUUUCUUCCCUUGGAGAGGCUCAAAAGAGGCUCAGAGGAAGUGAGAAGAAGGCUGUAGUAAGAAAAAAGAGAAAAACAACAGAAAUGAGGCAAAAGUAACAAGGGAGCCAUGUUGCUGUGGAGAUUAGCACGCUGAUGUCAGAAUUUUUGGUAUGAGGAAUCAUGCCCUGCAAGAGGUAAGGAGACAGAAAAGUGUCUAAAAUCUUGUCUUUCCUCUAAAGCUUUCUAAUUUGUUUAAAAAUUAAG
Molecule: long non-coding RNA, 444 nt
Filed under: Cavia porcellus (domestic guinea pig)
Lineage: Eukaryota; Metazoa; Chordata; Mammalia; Rodentia; Caviidae
Description: lncRNA (ENSCPOG00000035624.1)
Source: RNAcentral